ACAAUUCAAUUGCAUAAAUCACUUUUUUUUAUUUUUUUUAACUUGUAUAACUUUUUUUUGUUGUACUAUAUCGACAAACUAAAUAUAACAAAACACUUUUGUACACGAUUUUUUUUUCUUCGACUGCAUAGAUUUUUGUUUUUAUAGCAACAAUAACAAACUAAUCGAAAUGAGAAAACUUCGGUAUACAAAUUUUUUUUCUAUACUCUUUUUUUUUC
Molecule: long non-coding RNA, 218 nt
Filed under: Gossypium barbadense (sea-island cotton)
Lineage: Eukaryota; Viridiplantae; Streptophyta; Magnoliopsida; Malvales; Malvaceae
Description: long non-coding RNA (GBAR_LNC011400)
Source: RNAcentral